Pristis pectinata (smalltooth sawfish) is the source of this 523-nucleotide long non-coding RNA. RefSeq lists it as uncharacterized. The transcript has 3 exons. Lineage: Eukaryota; Metazoa; Chordata; Chondrichthyes; Rhinopristiformes; Pristidae. The record is from RefSeq and is a predicted model, not a curated record.
CGGUGAAGGUGAACUGCCCACGACAACGUUUCCCCAAAUCUCAGUAAACAACAAAUUAAAAUAGAGAAGCUUCCAGAAUCACUUGGUCUCUGCUGUAUGAAUUGGAGUAACUUCAAAAGAAAGUACAACUGCCAUGGGGAGGAGCAGAAAGAGAGGAAAGCGUGCAGUCGGUGUAGAUAAAACAAAGUGCUGCGUGUAAGAUCCACCCUCUUACCUGCUUCACUGAAGGAGUAAACAGUGGCUUGGAACGCGUCCUUCCAGCCCAUCCAAGCAUCAUCUGCGUUCUGCAGCUCUUCAUAGUUAAUGAAGCACCUCCCUUUUGUUUCCUGCUAACCUAUACUCAUGCACUCUCUGUCCCCUCCUUUUUCUGUUCUACCCUUUUAGGAUUCAUGGAUUCUCCAGACUUACAAAACCAACACUGAAAGAAAAAAGGCUUAUAACAAUGUAAUCUUAUGCCUUGACUCAUCUGCGCUGCUCCAACUUCACAUGCGCUCUUACCCCAAAUGGAGCAAUGCCUAGUCUG